This 74-nucleotide transfer RNA is filed under the name Chloroflexi bacterium HGW-Chloroflexi-2. Its description in RNAcentral is "tRNA-Gln". It matches the Rfam family "tRNA". From Rfam's summary of the family: Transfer RNA (tRNA) molecules are approximately 80 nucleotides in length. Their secondary structure includes four short double-helical elements and three loops (D, anti-codon, and T loops). RNAcentral also lists the same sequence under 1 other name. The record is from RNAcentral. Lineage: Bacteria; Bacillati; Chloroflexota.
UGGGGGUUCGUCUAACGGUAGGACAACUGACUCUGGAUCAGUAUGUAGGGGUUCGAAUCCUCUACCCCCAGCUA